AACGAACGCUGGCGGCAUGCCUAACACAUGCAAGUCGAACGAGACCUUCGGGUCUAGUGGCGCACGGGUGCGUAACGCGUGGGAACCUGCCCUUAGGUUCGGAAUAACUCCCCGAAAGGGGUGCUAAUACCGGAUAAUGUCUUCGGACCAAAGAUUUAUCGCCUUUGGAUGGGCCCGCGUUGGAUUAGCUGGUUGGUAGGGUAAAAGCCUACCAAGGCGACGAUCCAUAGCUGGUCUGAGAGGAUGAUCAGCCACACUGGGACUGAGACACGGCCCAGACUCCUACGGAAGGGAGCAGUGGGGAAUAUUGGACAAUGGGCGAAAGCCUAAUCAAGCCAUGCCGGGGGAGUGAUGAAGGCCUUAGGGUUGUAAAGCUCUUUUACCCGGGAUGAUAAUGACAGUACCGGGAGAAUAAGCUCCGGCUAACUCCGUG
RNAcentral lists this ribosomal RNA (433 nucleotides) under uncultured bacterium. Its description in RNAcentral is "partial 16S ribosomal RNA". It matches the Rfam family "Bacterial small subunit ribosomal RNA", at positions 29 to 507 of the family's 1533-position model. The record is from RNAcentral.